AUCCGUUGCCGAGAGUCAUUUUAUAUUAAUGUGUCAAAACACAACCCGCACGGAAACCGUCUCCGGUGCCAUGCAGAUGUGCUCAGAGCAAAGUUAAAUUUCCUUGACGCAUUCAGCGUCGGGGUUUGAAUUUUGGCACAGAAGAGAACGCAUUUUGUCGUUCCCCUCCGAUGCCAAUGGCAAGUUGGGGUGUGAAACACCUCAAGCCCACCGCAUGUGUUCAAACUAAUUCACGUGUUGGACUGCAUAUAAGGCAUCGACAAUGAUCCUUCCGCAGGUUCACCUACGGAAAUCGAAUUCCGGCUGCCACUG
This 312-nucleotide ribosomal RNA is filed under the name uncultured fungus. RNAcentral's name for it is "partial 18S ribosomal RNA". The record is from RNAcentral. Lineage: Eukaryota; Fungi.